UCUGCCUGGUAGUGGGGGAUAACGUCCGGAAACGGACGCUAAUACCGCAUACGUCCUACGGGAGAAAGCAGGGGACCUUCGGGCCUUGCGCUAUCAGAUGAGCCUAGGUCGGAUUAGCUAGUUGGUGGGGUAAUGGCUCACCAAGGCGACGAUCCGUAACUGGUCUGAGAGGAUGAUCAGUCACACUGGAACUGAGACACGGUCCAGACUCCUACGGGAGGCAGCAGUGGGGAAUAUUGGACAAUGGGCGAAAGCCUGAUCCAGCCAUGCCGCGUGUGUGAAGAAGGUCUUCGGAUUGUAAAGCACUUUAAGUUGGGAGGAAGGGCAGUAAAUUAAUACUUUGCUGUUUUGACGUUACCGACAGAAUAAGCACCGGCUAACUCUGUGCCAGCAGCCGCGGUAAUACAGAGGGUGCAAGCGUUAAUCGGAAUUACUGGGCGUAAAGCGCGCGUAGGUGGUUCGUUAAGUUGGAUGUGAAAUCCCCGGGCUCAACCUGGGAACUGCAUUCAAAACUGACGAGCUAGAGUAUGGUAGAGGGUGGUGGAAUUUCCUGUGUAGCGGUGAAAUGCGUAGAUAUAGGAAGGAACACCAGUGGCGAAGGCGACCACCUGGACUGAUACUGACACUGAGUGCGAAAGCGUGGGGAGCAACAGGAUUAGAUACC
Molecule: ribosomal RNA, 664 nt
Filed under: uncultured bacterium
Lineage: Bacteria
Description: bacterial SSU rRNA
Rfam family: Bacterial small subunit ribosomal RNA
Source: RNAcentral